UGCUCCGUUUGCCCAGUGGUUAAAGCGUCCACCCCCGAUGCGGGAGGUCGCGGGUUUGAACCCCGGCCGAGUCA
Molecule: non-coding RNA, 74 nt
Organism: Potamilus streckersoni
Lineage: Eukaryota; Metazoa; Mollusca; Bivalvia; Unionida; Unionidae
Source: the annotation of a GenBank genome assembly